Molecule: long non-coding RNA, 879 nt
Filed under: Heterocephalus glaber (naked mole-rat)
Lineage: Eukaryota; Metazoa; Chordata; Mammalia; Rodentia; Bathyergidae
Description: lncRNA (ENSHGLG00000030359.2)
Source: RNAcentral
GCGGGCCCUCUGGGCGGGACCUUCGGGAAUCUCCCGCUGCAACCGGAGCCUUCUGGAUUCAUUUGCGCCUCCCCUCCCUCUUACCACUUCGUUCCAGCUUCUCAUCCUGAGCUACAGACAUUUUAAAUCUAGAUCGGAAGAGCAAGGCGUUAACCAAGGCCAAAUGGUUGAGCCAACAAUUCAUCCCUUCAGCAAGCGUUUAUCGAGCACUUACUGUGUAGCAAGCCCUGUGCCAGGUCUUGGGCAGGAGGUGGAGAAGGCUUCCAUCUAUUUUCAGCAGGUGUUGGAAAACCAACAUAUAUUGAUAGCCACCGGCUCAAGGCAAUUUAGUAAAGUCCGACCUUGCACUUUUGAGGCAGGCAGCAGAACCACUGAGCUAAAUCCCGGUCCAGUAAUCCUGUGUUGAUGAAGAUCUUCUGUUGAUGAGAACCAGGAUGUCUUCAGCUGAUGUAAUCUUUCCCUUGAACUUCACAGUAUCACAGGACCAUUGAGGCCUCUACUUGUGACUGGAGACAAACGGAGUUAUGUUUUCACAUGCCAUAGCUGGCUCACAGGCAAGGUCCAUGAAGUAUGCUGCUGGGAUUUCAGUUGGGAUUGCAUUGAAUCUAUAUAGCAGUUUUGGAAGUAUGGCCAUUUUCACUAUGUUGAUCCUUCCUACCCAGGAGCAAGGCUGCAGGCUGCUGGGACCCAUGAACAUAAGGAGUGAGGAGGAGGCAAGGAGAGGCAACUUGGAGGAUGUGUUCCCAGAUCUCUGGAUCCAACAGCCUUGGCCUUGAGCCUAGUGUAGUGUGAGGAGUCCAGUCCUCUCUCAGUUCCUCCAGCGCCCUGAGCCCUAAGUUUGAGUGCUUCUGCUUGCUGCCUUCCCAUCUACCAGCAAAA